RNAcentral lists this ribosomal RNA (517 nucleotides) under uncultured fungus. RNAcentral describes it as "SSU rRNA". It matches the Rfam family "Eukaryotic small subunit ribosomal RNA", at positions 214 to 732 of the family's 1831-position model. Lineage: Eukaryota; Fungi. The record is from RNAcentral.
AUUAAAAACCAAUGCCCUCUGGGCUCUCUGGUGAUUCAUGAUAUCUUCUCGAAUCGCAUGGCCUUGCGCCGGCGAUGGUUCAUUCAAAUUUCUUCCCUAUCAACUUUCGAUGUUUGGGUAUUGGCCAAACAUGGUCGCAACGGGUAACGGAGGGUUAGGGCUCGACCCCGGAGAAGGAGCCUGAGAAACGGCUACUACAUCCAAGGAAGGCAGCAGGCGCGCAAAUUACCCAAUCCCGACACGGGGAGGUAGUGACAAUAAAUACUGAUACAGGGCUCUUUCGGGUCUUGUAAUUGGAAUGAGUACAAUUUAAAUCCCUUAACGAGGAACAAUUGGAGGGCAAGUCUGGUGCCAGCAGCCGCGGUAAUUCCAGCUCCAAUAGCGUAUAUAAAAGUUGUUGUGGUUAAAAAGCUCGUAGUUGAACCUUGGGCCUGGCUGGCCGGUCCGCCUCACCGCGUGUACUGGUCCGGCCGGGCCUUUCCCUCUGUGGAACCUCAUGCCCUUCACUGGGCGUGAC